CAGGGGGUAUUUUAUGUAAAAUAUUAGUUUUGGGGAUUAAUGAAAUGGCUUUGUGCUUUUCCCCUGA
This 67-nucleotide transfer RNA is filed under the name Longustitermes manni. RNAcentral describes it as "tRNA-Pro". The record is from RNAcentral. Lineage: Eukaryota; Metazoa; Arthropoda; Insecta; Blattodea; Termitidae.